Molecule: ribosomal RNA, 387 nt
Filed under: Triticum aestivum (bread wheat)
Lineage: Eukaryota; Viridiplantae; Streptophyta; Magnoliopsida; Poales; Poaceae
Description: partial small subunit ribosomal RNA
Source: RNAcentral
AUGUUGUACUUAAGAAGAAACCUAAUGAUUAACCAAAACAAUGUCUUAUUAUUAACUGGAAAUAGCAAUAAACUUGGAUGUCAUAUAAAGUUCUUAAAUAUCAAGAAACCACACAUAUUGUCGGAAUGUGCAAGCCGUUUAUCUGGAUUAUGUAUCAUUCUGAGUAAUCGUAUAUAUGUAGCGCCGUAUCCAUGUGUUAAUCUGUUUGAUUUUAUAGAUAUAUACAUAUUAAAAGGAAAAAAAUAUCUGGAUUUCAACUUAGUUUUGACAUGUUUAACUUGCAUCAAUUUAAAAAUUGUAGUUAGCCGUGUCUGCGCUUAUGUUGAUGUGACUUUUCUGAUCAGUUCAGGUGUCGAGAGUUGCAAAAUUGGAAUUAACCUUCUCUGA